GACGAACGCUGGCGGCGUGCUUAACACAUGCAAGUCGAACGGAAAGGCCCUGCUUGCAGGGAACUCGAGUGGCGAACGGGUGAGUAACACGUGGGUGAUCUGCCCUGCACUUCGGGAUAAGCCUGGGAAACUGGGUCUAAUACCGGAUAGGAGCCAUUUUUAGUGUGAUGGUUGGAAAGUUUUUUCGGUGUUGGAUGAGCUCGCGGGCUAUCAGCUUGUUGGUGGGGUAAUGGCCUACCAAGGCGGCGGCGGGUAGCCGGCCUGAGGGGGUGGACGGCCACAUUGGGACUGAGAGACGGCCCAGACUCCUACGGGAGGCAGCAGUGGGGAAUAUUGCACAAUGGGCGCAAGCCUGAUGCAGCGACGCCGCGUGGGGGAUGACGGCCUUCGGGUUGUAAACUCCUUUCGCUAGGGACGAAGCUUUUUGUGACGGUACCUAGAUAAGAAGCACCGGCUAACUACGUG
Molecule: ribosomal RNA, 465 nt
Filed under: uncultured bacterium
Lineage: Bacteria
Description: partial 16S ribosomal RNA
Rfam family: Bacterial small subunit ribosomal RNA
Source: RNAcentral